Molecule: unclassified non-coding RNA, 351 nt
Filed under: soil metagenome
Description: partial contains 5.8S ribosomal RNA, internal transcribed spacer 2, and large subunit ribosomal RNA
Rfam family: 5.8S ribosomal RNA (bases 1-120)
Source: RNAcentral
GAUGAAGAACGCAGCGAAAUGCGAAAAGUAAUGUGAAUUGCAGAAUUCAGUGAAUCAUCGAAUCUUUGAACGCACAUUGCGCCCACCAGUAUUCUGGCGGGCAUGCCUGUCUGAGCGUCAUUUCAACCCUCACGCCCCUAGGGCGUGGUGUUGGGGAUCGGCCAAGGCCCGCAAGGGACGGCCGGCCCCUAAAUCUAGUGGCGGACCCAUCGUGGCCUCCCCUGCGAAGUAGUAAUAUAUUCCGCAUCGGAUAGCGAUGAGCCCCUGCCGUUAAACCCCCACCUCUUUCAAGGUUGACCUCAGAUCAGGUAGGAAUACCCGCUGAACUUAAGCAUAUCAAUAAGCGGAGGA